CUUUAUUCUUAGCCUUUUGGCUAAGAUCUAGCAUCUGUUCUUAUCAGUUUAAUAUCUGAUAUGUCCUUUAUCCAAGGACAAUAUAUUAAAUGGAUUUGGGGAGCAGGGAGAUGGAAUAGAGCUUGCUCCAUCCACUCCAUGCAUUGAGCUGGUAUUGCAGUGCCUCCAGGAACAGGGCAACCCCU
Molecule: small nuclear RNA, 185 nt
Organism: Leptonychotes weddellii (Weddell seal)
Lineage: Eukaryota; Metazoa; Chordata; Mammalia; Carnivora; Phocidae
Product: U2 spliceosomal RNA
Source: RefSeq, a predicted model, not a curated record